GCCUAGCCCUUACAAGGUAACAAACCACAUCAGUUACUCGCCAAACCAUUAUGAGUGAAAACUUAAAACUUAAAGGACUUGACGGUACUUCAUACUCAACCUAGAGGAGCCUGUCUACUAACCGAUAAUCCACGAUUAACCCAACCACUUCUAGCCCCACAGUCUAUAUACCGCCGUCGCCAGCCCACCUUGUGAAAGAAACAAAAUGAGCUAAACAGUCAUACACUAACACGACAGGUCGAGGUGUAACUAAUGGAGUGGACCAAGAUGGGCUACAUUUUCUAAUAUAGAACACACGAACAAAGUCAUGAAACCAACCUUAGAAGGUGGAUUUAGCAGUAAGAUGAGAACAUAACGCUCAACUGAAACUAUUGCAAUGAAGUGCGUACACACCGCCCGUCAUCCCUGUCAAAAAUCAACUAAAACUACAUAAAUCCAUAAUAAUUUAAUAAAGCAGGGCAAGUCGUAACAUGGUAAGCGUACUGGAAAGUGCGCUUAGAAA
This 502-nucleotide ribosomal RNA is filed under the name Xenopeltis hainanensis. Its description in RNAcentral is "partial 12S ribosomal RNA". It matches the Rfam family "Bacterial small subunit ribosomal RNA", at positions 830 to 1522 of the family's 1533-position model. The record is from RNAcentral. Lineage: Eukaryota; Metazoa; Chordata; Lepidosauria; Squamata; Xenopeltidae.